GAUCAAGCCACCAAGGGCAUGCGGUGGAUGUCUUGGCGUCCAGAGGCGAUGAAGGACGUUGGAACCUGCGAUAAGCCCAGGGGAGCUGGUAACCGAGCCGAGAUCCUGGGAUUUCCGAAUGGGGCAACCCACUCUUUAGAGAGUAUCUCACGCUGAAUGCAUAGGCGUGAGAAGCGAACGUGGUGAACUGAAACAUCUCAGUAAUCACAGGAAAAGGAAGCAACAGCGACUCCGUCAGUAGCGGCGAGCGAACGCGGAUCACCUCGCAGACCGGAUGAAGCGGAUGGAAUACCGCGCCCAAGAAGGUGAAAGCCCUGUAACCGGAAGCGAGGAUGCCUUCAAGUAGAGUCGGGCUCGUGAAACCCGGCUCGAAGAUGGGGGGUCCACCCUCCAAGGCUAAGUACUACUGGACGACCGAUAGCGAAUCAGUAAGGCGACUGAAUGAUGACAAGCACCCCGACAAGGGGAGUGAAAGAGUACCUGAAACCGCAUGCUUACAAGCGGUGGGAGCCCGCAA
Molecule: ribosomal RNA, 517 nt
Filed under: Phycisphaeraceae bacterium
Lineage: Bacteria; Pseudomonadati; Planctomycetota; Phycisphaerae; Phycisphaerales; Phycisphaeraceae
Description: partial 23S ribosomal RNA
Rfam family: Bacterial large subunit ribosomal RNA
Source: RNAcentral